AACGCUAGCUACAGGCUUAACACAUGCAAGUCGAGGGGCAGCAUGAACUUAGCUUGCUAAGUUUGAUGGCGACCGGCGCACGGGUGAGUAACGCGUAUCCAACCUUCCGCAUACUCGGGAAUAGCCUUUCGAAAGAAAGAUUAAUGCCCGAUGGUAUCCUAAAUGCACAUGUAAGUAGGAUUAAAGAUUCAUCGGUAUGCGAUGGGGAUGCGUUCCAUUAGAUGGUUGGCGGGGUAACGGCCCACCAAGUCGACGAUGGAUAGGGGUUCUGAGAGGAAGGUCCCCCACAUUGGAACUGAGACACGGUCCAAACUCCUACGGGAGGCAGCAGUGAGGAAUAUUGGUCAAUGGGCGAGAGCCUGAACCAGCCAAGUAGCGUGAAGGAUGAAGGUCCUACGGAUUGUAAACUUCUUUUAUACGGGGAUAAAGUGACUUACGUGUAGGUCAUCGCAGGUACCGUAUGAAUAAGCAUCGGCUAACUCCGUGCCAGCAGCCGCGGUAAUACGGAGGAUGCGAGCGUUAUCCGGAUUUAUUGGGUUUAAAGGGAGCGUAGACGGGUCGUUAAGUCAGCUGUGAAAGUUUGGGGCUCAACCUUAAAAUUGCAGUUGAUACUGGCGUCCUUGAGUACGGUUGAGGCAGGCGGAAUUCGUGGUGUAGCGGUGAAAUGCAUAGAUAUCACGAAGAACUCCGAUUG
RNAcentral lists this ribosomal RNA (694 nucleotides) under uncultured bacterium. RNAcentral describes it as "bacterial SSU rRNA". It matches the Rfam family "Bacterial small subunit ribosomal RNA", at positions 32 to 715 of the family's 1533-position model. The record is from RNAcentral.